UUGAGAUUGGGGAUAAUAUGGAGCAGAAUUUCCUUCAAUUUGAUCCAGCACCACGUCAGGUUGAACCUGACACCACACGCAGAACUCCUGACUAUUUUUUGUAAUUGUCAUAGCAUACCCUCAGCUGGCAAUUUUUCUAAUUCUCUGUCAUGGUUUUAUAGAGGUGGCUUACAGAAUAGAGGAUUUUUGUUGUUUACUUGGUAAAGAGGUAAAAAGAAACAUUGUUACUGUCAUUCUUUAAGCCACCUCUAUAAAAC
This 257-nucleotide unclassified non-coding RNA is filed under the name Hevea brasiliensis (rubber tree). The record is from RNAcentral. Lineage: Eukaryota; Viridiplantae; Streptophyta; Magnoliopsida; Malpighiales; Euphorbiaceae.